UACGAGGGGGGCAAGCGUUGUUCGGAAUUAUUGGGCGUAAAGGGCGCGUAGGCGGUUUGGCAAGUUUCGUGUGAAAACUUCGGGCUCAACUCGAAGCCUGCACGGAAAACUGCCGGGCUUGAGUAUGGGAGAGGUGAGUGGAAUUUCCGGUGUAGCGGUGAAAUGCGUAGAUAUCGGAAGGAACACCUGUGGCGAAAGCGGCUCACUGGACCAUAACUGACGCUGAGGCGCGAAAGCUAGGGGAGCAAAC
This 250-nucleotide ribosomal RNA is filed under the name uncultured prokaryote. RNAcentral's name for it is "partial 16S ribosomal RNA". It matches the Rfam family "Bacterial small subunit ribosomal RNA", at positions 524 to 773 of the family's 1533-position model. The record is from RNAcentral.